RNAcentral lists this long non-coding RNA (770 nucleotides) under Junco hyemalis (dark-eyed junco). Its description in RNAcentral is "lncRNA (ENSJHYG00000007112.1)". Lineage: Eukaryota; Metazoa; Chordata; Aves; Passeriformes; Passerellidae. The record is from RNAcentral.
CUCCAGUAAUUUAAAUUUUGCUGAAUAUAGGCUUUCUCUCUUAAUUCUUGCAGGAAAUCUGCUGGCUUCUGGGAGCUCAUAGCUGGGAGCUAAGAACUACUUGUCAUUCACCAUCUGAUGCUGUGGAGUACUAAACAGUAAAUUUGUGCACAUCUUCAAUUUCAGCAGGAUCAUAUUUUGUGAUACAACAGCUAAUAGCUGAAGAACUCUGCCAUGAAAGUCCCAAGCAGCCCAGCCUUAGCAGGUAUUCAUUUUUUUUCAAGAUAUCUUUACUUUUAAUUGUUUUUAUUUAUUUAUUCAUUAACAUCUAACUUCAUUAAAGAUAUGUCUGGAAUGUUUUCAUGCUAAAGGACAAACCUGUGUUACAUUUUAACAGGUAGCAAGGAAAGAACAGAAUGUGUACAGAAGGAAUACAGCUACAACUGAUUCCUGGAAGCACAAUAAUGCAAAUAGAGAUUUCCCCCUUCGGAGCAAAAUGCCAUGAUGCUCACAAGAGCUAUAUAGACAGAAAAUGGUGCUGAUAGAAGCAAAAGAGGAAAGUUUUCAUCAUCCAAACAACAUGGACCUAAAUAUUGGAACCUAACAUUGGAAACUAAAGGCCAAUUACUCCCUGAGGUGCAUGGGGGGCCACUUCCACUGUAAUCAGUCUUGUGAUUGUGAAGGCAGAAGAGGACCUUGACUGUCUGUAUCUGGACUUUGUCAGCCCAUUUGUUUGUGACCAUAGUUGUAUCAUUACUGUGCUUUUCAAUAAAGGGAUGUUCACUGAGGCA